This 494-nucleotide ribosomal RNA is filed under the name uncultured bacterium. RNAcentral describes it as "bacterial SSU rRNA". It matches the Rfam family "Bacterial small subunit ribosomal RNA", at positions 30 to 515 of the family's 1533-position model. The record is from RNAcentral.
AUUGAACGCUGGCGGCAUGCCUUACACAUGCAAGUCGAACGGCAGCACGGGUGCUUGCACCUGGUGGCGAGUGGCGAACGGGUGAGUAAUGCAUCGGAACGUGCCCGAUUGUGGGGGAUAACGCACCGAAAGGUGUGCUAAUACCGCAUAAUCUCUGAGGAGGAAAGCAGGGGAUCUUAGGACCUUGCGCAGUUGGAGCGGCCGAUGUCGGAUUAGCUAGUUGGUGAGGUAACGGCUUACCAAGGCGACGAUCCGUAGCUGGUCUGAGAGGAUGAUCAGCCACACUGGGACUGAGACACGGCCCAGACUCCUACGGGAGGCAGCAGUGGGGAAUUUUGGACAAUGGGGGGAACCCUGAUCCAGCCAUGCCGCGUGAGUGAAGAAGGCCUUCGGGUUGUAAAGCUCUUUCAGCCGGGAAGAAAUUGCACAGGCUAAUACCUUGCUGUUUUGACGUUACCAACAGAAUAAGCACCGGCUAACUUCGUGCCAGCAGC